GAUCAUGGCUCGAGGACGACGCUGGCGGCGUGCUUAACACAUGCAAGUCGAACGGAGUGCUCAUGACAGAGGUUUCGGCCAAUAGAUUGAGUUACUUAGUGGCGGACUGGUGAGUAACGCGUGAGGAACCUGCCUUUCAGAGGGGGACAACAGUUGGAAACGACUGCUAAUACCGCAUGACACAUCGAGGGGGCAUCCCUUUGAUGUCAAAGAUUUAUCGCUGAAAGAUGGCCUCGCGUCUGAUUAGAUAGUUGGCGGGGUAACGGCCCACCAAGUCGACGAUCAGUAGCCGGACUGAGAGGUUGACCGGCCACAUUGGGACUGAGAUACGGCCCAGACUCCUACGGGAGGCAGCAGUGGGGAAUAUUGGGCAAUGGACGCAAGUCUGACCCAGCAACGCCACGUGAAGGAAGAAGGCUUUCGGGUUGUAAACUUCUUUACCAGGGACGAAGGACGUGACGGUACCUGGAGAAAAAGCCACGGCUAACUACGUG
RNAcentral lists this ribosomal RNA (494 nucleotides) under uncultured bacterium. RNAcentral describes it as "bacterial SSU rRNA". It matches the Rfam family "Bacterial small subunit ribosomal RNA", at positions 15 to 507 of the family's 1533-position model. The record is from RNAcentral.